GAUGAACGCUGGCGGCGUGCCUAACACAUGCAAGUCGAGCGAACAGACGAGGAGCUUGCUCCCCUGACGUUAUCGGCGGACGGGUGAGUAACACGUGGAUAACCUACCUAUACGACUGGGAUAACUUCGGGAAAUCGGAUCUAAUACCGGAUAACAUGUUGAACUGCAUGGUUUAACAGUGAAAGUCGGUAUUGCUGUCACUUAUAGACGGAUCAGCGCAGCAUUAGCUAGUUGGUAAGGUAACGGAUUACCAAGGCAACGAUGCGUAGCCGACCUGAGAGGGUGAUCGGCCAGACUGGAAGUGAGACACGGUCCAGACUCCUGCGGUGGGCAGCAGUAGGGAAUCUUCCGCGAUGGGCGAGAGCCUGACGGUGCAAAGCGGCGUGAGUGAAGAAGGUCUACGGAUCGGAAAGCUCUGUUAUUAGGAGAGAAGAAAAGUGUAAGUAACUGUGCUCAUCUUGACAGUACCGAGAGAGAAAGCCACGGCUAACUACGUG
Molecule: ribosomal RNA, 497 nt
Filed under: uncultured bacterium
Lineage: Bacteria
Description: partial 16S ribosomal RNA
Rfam family: Bacterial small subunit ribosomal RNA
Source: RNAcentral